ACGGCACGCCUCACUUUCCACCACACUGCACCGCCGAGCGGAUCGCUUUACAAUACCACUCACACCCACCCAGAAGACUUGAAGAGCAAAAGGGCUCGGAUUGAGGUCAGCGGCUGGUGGCUUUUAUCAUUCAGCAUUCGCCAUGUAAUGACUUUGGUCAACAGAACUCAUCAAGGAUAUGUCAGCUUACCCGUGAACCACCACACCCACACCAAAACGCUCAUCACCCACCCAGUGUCCUUCGACCUCGGGAGGGGUGCCUGGGAGGUUGCUUGCGGUUGGAGCUCAGCGAGCAUACAAAGCACUUAACUCGUUAGCGGUUAACGGCAUAUUGCCACGAUGCUGUGAAGAACCAAAAACAACGAUCUAGAUAAAGGGAAAAACUUGCCAGCCAAUAGCACACAUGACUCAACACACAAAAUACUUGGCCAAAAAAUGCUACAGCCCAGACCAGGACUCGGGACGCAGGACCCAGGAGCCGGACGAGGACAAGGACGAGUACCAGGACCAGGACCAAGAGCAGGCAUCCCCGGAAUAAAAAUAACAAAUAUCCACAGUUAAUUGAAAUUCCUUAACUUUCUCAAUUAAACUUUCGUGCAAUGCUCUCAA
Drosophila ananassae is the source of this 609-nucleotide long non-coding RNA. RefSeq lists it as uncharacterized. The record is from RefSeq and is a predicted model, not a curated record. Lineage: Eukaryota; Metazoa; Arthropoda; Insecta; Diptera; Drosophilidae. The transcript has 2 exons.